UUUCCGUAGGUGAACCUGCGGAAGGAUCAUUCAUAAUAAGUGUUUUAUGGCACUUUUUUAAAUCCAUAUUCUCCUUUUGUGCAAUGUCAGGGUUGGUCUCUUUUGUACAGCCCCAAACAUCAACUAUUAUCUCAACUCUUUGUCUGAAAAAUAUUAUGAAUAAAACAAAUCAAAAUACAACUUUCAACAACGGAUCUCUUGGCUCUC
This 207-nucleotide unclassified non-coding RNA is filed under the name plant metagenome. RNAcentral's name for it is "partial contains small subunit ribosomal RNA, internal transcribed spacer 1, and 5.8S ribosomal RNA". The record is from RNAcentral.